RNAcentral lists this ribosomal RNA (269 nucleotides) under uncultured bacterium. RNAcentral's name for it is "partial 16S ribosomal RNA". It matches the Rfam family "Bacterial small subunit ribosomal RNA", at positions 90 to 353 of the family's 1533-position model. The record is from RNAcentral.
CCGGACCGGCGCACGGGUGAGUAACGCGUAUGCAACUUACCUAUCAGAGGGGGAGUAACCCGGCGAAAGUCGGACUAAUACCGCAUGAAGCAGGGAUCCCGCAUGGGAAUAUUUGCUAAAGAUUCAUCGCUGAUAGAUAGGCAUGCGUUCCAUUAGGCAGUUGGCGGGGGUAACGGGCCCACCAAACCGACGAUGGAUAGGGGUUCUGAGAGGAAGGUCCCCCACAUUGGUACUGAGACACGGACCAAACUCCUACGGGAGGCAGCAUG